RNAcentral lists this ribosomal RNA (115 nucleotides) under uncultured bacterium. Its description in RNAcentral is "partial 16S ribosomal RNA". It matches the Rfam family "Bacterial small subunit ribosomal RNA", at positions 1386 to 1500 of the family's 1533-position model. The record is from RNAcentral.
CACACCGCCCGUCACACCAUGGGAGUCAGUAACGCCCGAAGUCAGUGACCCAACCGUAAGGAGGGAGCUGCCGAAGGUGGGACCGAUAACUGGGGUNAAGUCGUAACAAGGUACC